Molecule: ribosomal RNA, 253 nt
Filed under: uncultured bacterium
Lineage: Bacteria
Description: partial 16S ribosomal RNA
Rfam family: Bacterial small subunit ribosomal RNA
Source: RNAcentral
UACGUAGGGGGCAAGCGUUAUCCGGAUUUAUUGGGCGUAAAGAGCUCGUAGGCGGCCGUUCGCGUCGGAUGUGAAAGCUCAGGGCUCAACUCUGAGACGCCAUUCGAUACGGGACGGCUAGAGGUAGGUAGGGGAAAGUGGAAUUCCUGGUGUAGCGGUGAAAUGCGCAGAUAUCAGGAGGAACACCAGCGGCGAAGGCGGCGCUCUGGGCUGGAACUGACGCUGAGGAGCGAAAGCGUGGGGAGCGAACAGG